Molecule: long non-coding RNA, 667 nt
Filed under: Ananas comosus (pineapple)
Lineage: Eukaryota; Viridiplantae; Streptophyta; Magnoliopsida; Poales; Bromeliaceae
Description: long non-coding RNA (ACOM_LNC030041)
Source: RNAcentral
CGAAAUAUUUCAGUUAUUUCUCAUAAUAUUUAUUUUUUUUAGAUAUGUAUAAUUUUAUAAGUAUAUAAAAAUAUAUAGUAAUAUACGAAGUAGAAAAUAUUCUCCCACAAAUCAGAUUUCGCACCAACUUUAUAUAAGGCACAUUCAUUUUAGAAAUUUUAUAAUAUUAAAUAAAAUUAGAAUUAUAUUAAUUUUUAUUAAUUUUUUUAUUAAUUAUAGAUUGUAUUUAUUAGAUGAAAAUUUAAUUUCGUUAUAUUGACUAUUAAAAAUUAGGGUUGAUCAAUGCGAUAACUAUUUUAAAAAAAUUUGGUUCAUGUAUUAUAUUAUUAAAAAAUAGGGUUGAUCCAUGCGAUAAUUAUUUUAAAAAAGAUUUGGUUCAUAUCUUAUAUACUCAGUGUACAAUUUUUUUUACACCGUAUAUAUAUACAAAUCUAUUAAUUUCUGUAUAUGAAUUUUUUAUUUAAUUAUACUAUUAAAAAAUAGGAUUGGUCUAUGCGAUAAAAUUUUAUACUUGGUGUAGGCAAAAAAUUUAUUAAUUAUAGAUUGUAUUUAUUAGAUGAAAUUUUAAUUUUGUUAUAUUGACUAUUAAAAAAUAUGGUUGGUCCAUGCGAUAAUUAUUUUAAUAAAAGGUUUGGUUCAUGUCUUAUACUAUUAAAAGUAGGGUUGA